GAAGUAAAAGUCGUAACAAGGUCUCCGUUGGUGAACCAGCGGAGGGAUCAUUACAGAGUUACUACUCCAAACCCAUUGUGAACCUUACCUAUGUUCUGUUGCCUCGGCGGCGUGGUCAGCGCCCCUCUGAAAAGAGGACGAUGCCCUCCCGCCGGCAGCACCAAACUCUUUGAAUUUUACAGCGGAUUACAGUUCUGAUUUGAAAACAAAAAAACAAGUUAAAACUUUCAACAACGGAUCUCUUGGUUCUGGCAUCGAUGAAGAACGCAGCGAAAUGCGAUAAGUAAUGUGAAUUGCAGAAUUCAGUGAAUCAUCGAAUCUUUGAACGCACAUUGCGCCCGGCAGUAAUCUGCCGGGCAUGCCUGUCCGAGCGUCAUUUCAACCCUCGAACCUCCGUUUCCUCAGGGAAGCUCAGGGUCGGUGUUGGGGCGCUACGGCGAGUCUUCGCGACCCUCCGUAGGCCCUGAAAUACAGUGGCGGUCCCGCCGCGGUUGCCUUCUGCGUAGUAAGUCUCUUUUGCAAGCUCGCAUUGGGUCCCGGCGGAGGCCUGCCGUCAAACCACCUAUAACUCCAGAUGGUUUGACCUCGGAUCAGGUAGGGUUACCCGCUGAACUUAAGCAUAUCAAUAAGCGGAGGA
This 637-nucleotide unclassified non-coding RNA is filed under the name Scedosporium boydii. RNAcentral describes it as "sequence contains 18S rRNA gene, ITS1, 5.8S rRNA gene, ITS2, 28S rRNA gene". The stretch from base 223 to 376 matches the Rfam family "5.8S ribosomal RNA". Lineage: Eukaryota; Fungi; Ascomycota; Sordariomycetes; Microascales; Microascaceae. The record is from RNAcentral.